CUGGAGGUAUCAGAAGUGCGAAUGCUGACAUAAGUAACGAUAAAGCGGGUGAAAAGCCCGCUCGCCGGAAGACCAAGGGUUCCUGUCCAACGUUAAUCGGGGCAGGGUGAGUCGACCCCUAAGGCGAGGCCGAAAGGCGUAGUCGAUGGGAAACGGGUUAAUAUUCCCGUACUUGGUGUUACUGCGAAGGGGGGACGGAGAAGGCUAUGUUGGCCGGGCGACGGUUGUCCCGGUUUAAGCGUGUAGGUGUGUGUUCCAGGUAAAUCCGGUUCACUUUAACACUGAGGCGUGACGA
Molecule: ribosomal RNA, 295 nt
Filed under: Salmonella enterica
Lineage: Bacteria; Pseudomonadati; Pseudomonadota; Gammaproteobacteria; Enterobacterales; Enterobacteriaceae
Also listed under: 2 other names
Description: partial 23S ribosomal RNA
Rfam family: Bacterial large subunit ribosomal RNA
Source: RNAcentral